RNAcentral lists this ribosomal RNA (468 nucleotides) under uncultured bacterium. RNAcentral's name for it is "bacterial SSU rRNA". It matches the Rfam family "Bacterial small subunit ribosomal RNA", at positions 57 to 512 of the family's 1533-position model. The record is from RNAcentral.
GCAGUGGAUCGACGAACCGGGGCUUGCCCCGGGGCAGAGCCGCGAACGGGUGAGUAACACGUGGGUAACCCACCCCGAUGACCGGGACAACCCGAGGAAACUCGGGCUAAUACCGGAUGUGCUCCUUGGCCAUGAGGUCAAUGAGCAAAGAUAGCUUCGGCCUUCGCAUCGGGACGGGCCCGCGGCCCAUUAGCUUGUUGGUGGGGUAACGGCCUACCAAGGCGACGAUGGGUAGCUGGUCUGAGAGGACGAUCAGCCACACUGGGACUGAGACACGGCCCAGACUCCUACGGGAGGCAGCAGUGGGGAAUCUUGCGCAAUGCGCGAAAGCGUGACGCAGCAACGCCGCGUGGGGGAAGACGGCCUUCGGGUUGUAAACCCCUUUCAGUUGGGACGAAGCUUCGCCGGUGAAUAGCCGGCUGGAGUGACGGUACCUUCACAAGAAGCCCCGGCUAACUACGUGCCAGC